RNAcentral lists this ribosomal RNA (577 nucleotides) under uncultured Alphaproteobacteria bacterium. RNAcentral's name for it is "partial 16S ribosomal RNA". The record is from RNAcentral. Lineage: Bacteria; Pseudomonadati; Pseudomonadota; Alphaproteobacteria.
UCCAACGCGUUGGGAGCUCUCCCAUAUGGUCGACCUGCAGGCGGCCGCGAAUUCACUAGUGAUUCGUAUUACCGCGGCUGCUGGCACGAAGUUAGCCGGGACUUAUUCUGCGGGUACCGUCAUUAUCGUCCCCGCCAAAAGAGCUUUACAACCCUAAGGCCUUCGUCACUCACGCGGCAUGGCUGGAUCAGGCUUGCGCCCAUUGUCCAAGAUUCCCCACUGCUGCCUCCCGUAGGAGUCUGGGCCGUGUCUCAGUCCCAGUGUGGCUGGUCAUUCUCUCAAACCAGCUACGGAUCGUUGCCUUGGUGAGCCGUUACCUCACCAACUAGCUAAUCCGACGCGGGCCCAUCCAAUGGCGAUAAAUCUUUCCCCGUAAGGGCUUAUUCGGUAUUAGCACAAGUUUCCCUGUGUUGUUCCGAACCAAAAGGUACGUUCCCACGCGUUACUCACCCGUCUGCCGCUGACGUAUUGCUACGCCCGCUCGACUUGCAUGUGUUAAGCCUGCCGCCAGCGUUCGCUCUGAGCCAUGAUCAAACUCUAAUCGAAUUCCCGCGGCCGCCAUGGCGGCCGGGAGCAU